Molecule: ribosomal RNA, 233 nt
Filed under: Pelomedusa galeata
Lineage: Eukaryota; Metazoa; Chordata; Testudines; Pelomedusidae
Description: partial 12S ribosomal RNA
Source: RNAcentral
ACCACCCUUUGCCAUUCAGCCUAUAUACCGCCGUCUCCAGCUUACCUUGUGAAAGCCAAAAAGUAAGCGAAAUAGCUCCUACAGCUAGAAAGUCAGGUCCAGGUGUAGCCAAUAGGGUGGGUGCAAUGGGCUACAUUUUCUAAAAUAGAAAUAUUCACGGACAGACCCUUGAAAUAGGGACUAAUAAGUCGGAUUUAGCAGUAAUCUAGGAAUAGAAAGCCUAUAUUAAGCCG